Molecule: unclassified non-coding RNA, 322 nt
Filed under: Paraburkholderia phenazinium
Lineage: Bacteria; Pseudomonadati; Pseudomonadota; Betaproteobacteria; Burkholderiales; Burkholderiaceae
Description: Long range pseudoknot
Source: RNAcentral
ACGGAUGACGGCGAUUACAACGUCAAGCUGCGCAACCUCAUCCGCUUCCUCGACGACGGUGACAAGACGAAAAUCACGUUGCGUUUCCGUGGCCGCGAAAUGGCCCACCAGGAAAUCGGUAUGCGCAUGCUGGAACGCCUGCGCACAGAUCUGGACGAAGUCGGUCAGGUCGAGCAAAUGCCGAAGAUGGAAGGGCGCCAGAUGAUCAUGGUGCUCGCUCCGAAGAAAAAGAAGUAAGCAGCCCGCGCGGGUUGUCUGCGCAAGCUGUGUGGCAGCGCGCCGCGAGGCGCGCGCCGUCGUGUUGAAAAGAUUGAGUUGUUGU